This is a long non-coding RNA of Oncorhynchus keta (chum salmon), 2201 nucleotides long. RefSeq lists it as uncharacterized. The transcript has 2 exons. The record is from RefSeq and is a predicted model, not a curated record. NCBI's taxonomy places the organism in Eukaryota, Metazoa, Chordata, Actinopteri, Salmoniformes, Salmonidae.
AGAAAAUGGGGUGCUUUCGUAAAUUCUCCCUGGCUAUCUUCUUGUCUGAGUGUACCAGAGCGCUCAACACCGGUUGAAUUUGGCCGGUGUAACGUCGGCAAAAAGGCAUAAAAGUUUUGCCAGCAGCACAGUUAAUCAUCAACGCUCUGGAUAACAAACUGCCUAACCAAUUCUGCUAGGGAAACAAAGAAGAUGUACCGAUGUAUACAUUAAGACCCUCACACUUUCACAGAUGCACAAUUGAGAGCAUCCUGUCGGGCUGUAUCACCGCCUGGUACGGCAACUGCACCGCCCGCUUCCGCAGGGCUCUCCAGAGGUUGGUGCGGUCUGCCCAACACCGGGGGCACACUGCCUGUCCUCCAGGACACCUUCAGCACCCGAUGUCACAGGAAGGCCAAAAAGAUCAAGGACAUCAACCACCCGAGCCUAAGCCUGUUCACCCCGCAAUCAUCCAGUUGGCGAGGUUAGAACUGGUGCAUCAAAGCUGGGACCGAGAGACUGAAAAACAGCUUCUAUCUCAAGGCCAUCAGACUGUUAAAUAGUAAUCACUAGCCGGCUACCACCCGGUAACUCAACCCUGCACCUUAGAGGCUGCUGCCCUAUGUACAUAGACAUGGAACACAAGUCACUUUAAUAAUGUUUACAUACUGCUUUACUCAUUUCAUACGUAUAUACUGUAUUCUAGACAAUACCACUGACAUUGCUCAUCCUAAUAUUUAUAUAUUUCUUCAUUCCAAUCUUUUACUUUUAGAUGUGUGUGUUGUUGUGUAUUGUUAGAUAAUACUGCACUGUUGGAGCUAGGAACACAAGCAUUUCGCUACACCCGCAAUAACAUUGCUAAAUGUGUAUGUGACCAAUAACAUUUGAUUUGAUUUGAAGCCCUACAUCAGGGAUCAUGGAGGAGACAGGUUAAAGAAGGAUGUUUAAGCCUUGAGACAAUUCAGACAUGGAUUGUGUAUGUGUGCCAUUCAGAGGGUGAAUGGACAAGACAAAAGAUUUAAGUGCCUUUGAAUGGGGUAUGGUAGUAAGGCUGCUGGGUUUUUCAUCCUCAACAGUUACCCAUAUGUAUCAAGAUUGGUUCACCACCCAAAGGACAUCCAGCCAACUUGACAACUGUGGGAAGCAUUGGGGUCAACAUGGGCCAGCAUCCCUGUAGAAUGCUUUCGACACCUUGUAGAGUAAAUGCCCGACAAUUUUAAGGUUUUCUGAGAACAAAAGGGGGUGGUGUAACUCAAUAUUCAGAAAAUGUUCUUAAUGUUUGGUAUACUCCGUGUAUUUUGGGCUAAAACAAUCAUUUCAAACCUACCAUUUGUAAAUGAUAACAUCUCUCUAUUAUGUGUGGGAAUACUUGGGAACAGAUUUACAACAUUAAAAAUCACUUGGAGGUGAUUUCCUGGUUAUCAUCAUCUUUUAUGUCCCACAAGGGGAAAAAAAGACUGAAAAAUAAAACAUGUUUUUUGUUUUUGCUCAGAAAACGUUGAGGGCCAAAUAAAACCAAUCGCUGCCAGUUGGGGAACCCUGACCUAUAUUAAGACCUAGAAGCUAUGGGUCCAUUACAACAAAAAGGCUGAACUUCGCACAUACCACUGUGUUUACCAAUGAUAUGUAUAAACCCUGGAACGCUGAUACUAUCUAUUGUCCAAUGAGAGGCUUUGAAGCCACCAGUGGGCCAUAUUGGCACUCCCCAGAAGAAGCAGUCAUCCAUGUAUCUCACAUAAUAUAAUUAAAAAGUAUGAAUAUAAAUAGCACACAUAGAACAGAUAUACCGCUUCUCAGACUUUCUUUUAACUCACAUUUCUACGUGACUUUGCCCAGGUUGCCCCAAAAGCUACCUACUGCGACUUUAAUCGAUGGUUGUAAUAGGCCCCCAUAUGUUUCCAUAUUGGCCACAUAUGUUUCCAAAGGCUGCGUUUACACAGGCAGACCAAUUCUGAUCUUUUUCACUAAUUGGUCUUCUGUUCCAAUUAGAUCAGCCCUGAAAAAGAUCAUGUGAUUGGUCAAAAGACCAAUUGGUGGAAAAAAAUAUUUGUAUUGGGCUGCCAGUGUAAACGCAGCCAAGCUGAUCAUAUAACUGAUGUUUUUCUACUGACCAAUGAGAAUGCAAAUGUUAUGUAAGUGGAAAGUAUAAAAGGCUGGUUGAGACUCAUGUAUGUUGACAUUGUAUGCUACGUGUAUGCCGUUAAUUAAAGCCUUGAAUUGGA